This 821-nucleotide long non-coding RNA is filed under the name Amphimedon queenslandica. RNAcentral's name for it is "uncharacterized LOC109590226, transcript variant X2". The record is from RNAcentral. Lineage: Eukaryota; Metazoa; Porifera; Demospongiae; Haplosclerida; Niphatidae.
CACUCAAUUCUUUGUUGCAAACGUUAAUAAAAUCAGAGGGAGAAAAGCUUGUUGCCAUUAUUAUGAUCAGGAAUUUUCAUACCCACGCAAAUGACGCAGUCUACGUGGGUGUUUUGCUUGCAUAGCUAUUUCAGAUGGAGAAGAGUCAGCACUCUUGUAAUAAUGUUUCAUUUGAAUUUCUAUUUCAGAGAGUGAUUUGAUACAUUUCACCUUUCAAUUUCCAUAGUCCGUGGCUCCGUGCUACAACACACACGCUGUCACUGAUAACUUGUUAUAUUCAAGAUAUUCAAGAGCUGAAGUCCCACACUCCAAUAGAACAUGUUGAUUAUGCAGCACUGUCUGAAAUAGGAACUGAAUUGGCACAAAGGUGUGACAGAUGAAAAGUCCUAUUCUGAAAACAUUCGUAACGUCCUUAAAAUAGAGUCCAAGAUAGAAGGAGGUUGCCCUGUUUUGUUAGACAAGGAGCAGGCAUUAGUUAGAAAGGGUAUUCUCUGUAUCUGGAGACAGGAUGAUAAACUGCUCACUUUCUCCAGAAAGACAAGAAGGAGGCAGAACUAUUGCUUCCUGUUUUCAAAGCAUUUCCUAGUGACACAGAGAGUAGAGAAGAAAGGAGAAGAGGGAUACCGUCUGUUGAAAGAGAAUGGGUUACUGUCACUCGCUAAAUGUAGGAUACAUGAAUAUGCCCUCCCUGAGUAUCCAGAGUUACGUUUUCUCAGUUUUGGUCUUGAGAUUGAUGAUGGUUCACAGAGUCAGUCCAAACAGAAGUUGAUAUUUAUUGCAAUGUCAGUGGCAGAGAAGGCACAGUGGAUAGCUGAUAUUGC